Molecule: ribosomal RNA, 500 nt
Filed under: uncultured bacterium
Lineage: Bacteria
Description: partial 16S ribosomal RNA
Rfam family: Bacterial small subunit ribosomal RNA
Source: RNAcentral
AUUGAACGCUGGCGGCAUGCUUUACACAUGCAAGUCGAACGGCAGCACGGACUUCGGUCUGGUGGCGAGUGGCGAACGGGUGAGUAAUACAUCGGAACGUACCCAGUAAUGGGGGAUAACUAUCCGAAAGGAUAGCUAAUACCGCAUACGCCCUACGGGGGAAAGAGGGGGAUCGCAAGACCUCUUGUUAUUGGAGCGGCCGCUGGCUGAUUAGCUAGUUGGUGAGGUAAAGGCUCACCAAGGCGACGAUCAGUAGCGGGUCUUAGAGGACGUGCCGCACGACGGGAGCAGGUACCCGGUGCAGAGUCCGACGGUAGGCAGAAGUGGGGAAUUUUGGACAAUGGGCACGAGCCUUAUCCAGCAAUGCCGCGUGCGUGAAGAAGGCAUUCGGGUUGUAAAGGGCUUUUGUCAGGGAGCAAAUCCUAGUGGCUGAUACCCACCGGGGAUGAGAGUACCUGAAGAAUAAGGACCGGCUAACUACGUGCCAGCAGCCUCGGUAA